UUCUACAUAGGCUAACUUCGGUUUACAGAAACCGAAUCAGGAAGCGAGUGGGUUUUAGAAAUCGAAUUUCUAAUUCCUUCGAUUUGUAAAACCCGAAUUUGCUGACAAAUUUUUUUCACAUUUUGGAAGAGCAAAAUGGGAUUUAAGGGGGUGUAAAAGAAUCGUGGGGGGGCCUAAAGAAAAAUUAUCUUAAUUAUUU
RNAcentral lists this long non-coding RNA (199 nucleotides) under Trifolium pratense (red clover). RNAcentral's name for it is "long non-coding RNA (TPRA_LNC009285)". Lineage: Eukaryota; Viridiplantae; Streptophyta; Magnoliopsida; Fabales; Fabaceae. The record is from RNAcentral.